RNAcentral lists this long non-coding RNA (631 nucleotides) under Monodelphis domestica (gray short-tailed opossum). Its description in RNAcentral is "lncRNA (ENSMODG00000035951.2)". Lineage: Eukaryota; Metazoa; Chordata; Mammalia; Didelphimorphia; Didelphidae. The record is from RNAcentral.
UUGGUUGGCUAGAGAAAGAGGAUUGAAGGGUUAACUUAAGAAGCCAGCUAGAAUCUUCAAGGAGGUUCCUUAAAAGAAUACCCAGAAGCCCUAGGGGGUCUGUUAGAAAUAACAGAUACCCUUUGAGUUCUGAUACUCAAAGGGUGGAUGUCUGGACCUUUCCCCUGGGAAACCCUGGAAGAGCUGAGGGAGAAGUAGGCCCACAGCAGGACCUGGAGAGAGCUAGCUGCUGGGAACCUGACAGUGACUGGAUAGAAACAAAGUACAAAGUCCAAUCUCCUUGGCAGGAAAAAAAGAAACAAAACAAAACAAAAAAAAAACAAAAAAACAGAAGCAAAGCAAAAGAUGAAAAAGAACAUUUCUUUGGGAAUAAAAAGGACUCUCUACCUAUGACUCCAUCGGUGUGUAGAAUUCCUGAUAUCUCAACCCUCUCCACAAAUGAAGAUCAACAGCUCUUUAGUGGGUUAGAGUUGCCUGCAGCCCUUGUCCACUUUUAUACAGCCUAUUAUGUAUCAGAGGAACAUUCCUUGGCCUAUCCUCUAUCCACUAGGUCAUGCACUAUUUAAGAAAAGAAAAAAAUGAGCAUUCAUGGUAAAAUAAAAUUCAAGGGUUUGUGAUUACUCCUGUCUUU